This is a long non-coding RNA of Mytilus californianus (California mussel), 365 nucleotides long. RefSeq lists it as uncharacterized. The transcript has 3 exons. Lineage: Eukaryota; Metazoa; Mollusca; Bivalvia; Mytilida; Mytilidae. The record is from RefSeq and is a predicted model, not a curated record.
AUGAAAAUUCUAUCAAUUGGCUUACUGCUUAUUGUGUUACCAGGAAUUGUUUUAUCAAAACACCACGAAUCUAUACUGUCAUCUAUUUUAAAACCAUUAGAUUUUUCAUUUCAUUUACAUAUUACCUCUGACGAAAAUCAACCAAAAAAUGACAUCCUUCAUGAGUUAGGAGACUUCUUCAAAGGAAAAAGAACUGGAUCCUAUAGACCCCACACUAACAGCGGUGAUAAUGAACCAAAGAAUGACGUCCUUCACGAAUUAGGAGACUACUUCAAAGGCAAACGAGAUGAAAAUGAUUAUUUUUAUUAUUUUGAUGAAUAUUAAAAGACAGCUUUUCUCAACUGGUCCUGAGUAACGCACAAUAA